Molecule: ribosomal RNA, 469 nt
Filed under: uncultured bacterium
Lineage: Bacteria
Description: partial 16S ribosomal RNA
Rfam family: Bacterial small subunit ribosomal RNA
Source: RNAcentral
GACGAACGCUGGCGGCGUGCUUAACACAUGCAAGUCGAACGGAAAGGCCCUGCUUGCAGGGUGCUCGAGUGGCGAACGGGUGAGUAACACGUGGGUGAUCUGCCCCUUAUUUUGGGAUAAGCCUGGGAAACUGGGUCUAAUACUGGAUAGGACCAUGCUGUAGGUGGUGUGGUGGAAAGAUUAGUUUCGGUAAGGGAUGAGCUCGCGGCCUAUCAGCUUGUUGGUGGGGUAAUGGCCUACCAAGGCGUCGACGGGUAGCCGGCCUGAGAGGGUGGACGGCCACAUUGGGACUGAGAUACGGCCCAGACGCCUACGGGAGGCAGCAGUGGGGAAUAUUGCACAAUGGGCGCAAGCCUGAUGCAGCGACGCCGCGUGGGGGAUGACGGCCUUCGGGUUGUAAACUCCUUUCAGUCAUGACGAAGCCCUUGUGGUGACGGUAGUGGUAGAAGAAGCACCGGCUAACUACGUG